RNAcentral lists this ribosomal RNA (239 nucleotides) under uncultured bacterium. Its description in RNAcentral is "partial 16S ribosomal RNA". It matches the Rfam family "Bacterial small subunit ribosomal RNA", at positions 524 to 760 of the family's 1533-position model. The record is from RNAcentral.
UACGAAGGGGGCUAGCGUUGCUCGGAAUUACUGGGCGUAAAGGGAGCGUAGGCGGACAGUUUAGUCAGUGGUGAAAGCCCAGGCUCAACCUUGGAAUUGCCAUUGAUACUGAUUGUCUUGAGUAUGGGAGAGGUGUGCGGAACUCCGAGUGUAGAGGUGAAAUUCGUAGAUAUUCGGAAGAACACCAGUGGCGAAGGCGGCACACUGGCCCCAUUACUGACGGCUGAGGCUCGGAAAGC